This is a long non-coding RNA of Cheilinus undulatus (humphead wrasse), 2782 nucleotides long. RefSeq lists it as uncharacterized. The record is from RefSeq and is a predicted model, not a curated record. The transcript is spliced from 6 exons. NCBI's taxonomy places the organism in Eukaryota, Metazoa, Chordata, Actinopteri, Labriformes, Labridae.
ACAAGGCAGGCACGUAACCGUUGGGAGACUGUCUGGAGUCUGUCUGAAAUUGAUAAAAUUGGAGAUGGAGUUUUGCGUCUGUUUGAACGUUUACAGGGAAGCCGCCCGCUGGAAAUGGGAUUUUUUUGCUCUCCUCCUCAAACGCCUUCGCCCAGGAGACGCCAGGCUCAACCAAAAAUAUUUUUAGAUAUCCGCCGUGAAAGUUUUUUCUUCUGCAGUCUAUCAGCAGACAGCUCUUUAUGUACAGCUCUGCGGGGAAGCAGCCAUCAGCCCUGGAGUUCAAGAGGAGUGCACCAUCCUGAAUGCAGUCUGCACCAGCUCAGAGGCAUGUCCAGAACCUGAUCCAGCACAUGAAAACUGAUCCAAAACGUACUGAAGAAGGUGAUCUCUGGAUUCUUGCAGGCUGUCAUAACUUCAUGUCUUAGACACCCAAAUGGUCUGGCUUCUUCUUCUUAACAACUCCAUUGCAAGGCAGUCCACAUCCAAACUGCAGGGAGGAGAAUUUUAAGUGUAGUGAGCUGGCGGUGAAACUAGGAAGGAAGAUGUCAUGCUAAGGAUGGGUUUUGGUGAUGAUGUUGCUGCUGUUGAUGCAGCAUCGAGCUCUCACUUUGUGCCUCUGUCAGCUAUGAUGCGUAACCGCAAAGUGAGUGACAGGCCAGUCCCCAGGGAGAGCAGGGGGCCUGAGGUGAGUCAGAUGUAUCCUUGACCCUGUCGAGCUGUGUCAGCAAGCAACACAAACUCAGUAAGAAAAGCCAGAAAUGGCAUGACUGUACAUUGUACAUCUUCAUUUAGUAUGUAGAAGAAGACAAACUAAGAAGCGCCAACACCUUGACUGUUUGUGUUCAAGAGUUCUCGUCUUUAUGCACAAACUCCCUCAACUUAUGAAUAAUGUAAUUAUAAUGCAGCAUAUCACAUUAGCACUGAUACCUUUGGUGCCUUUCCUGAAUUUGUUUAAAAACAGUUCAGAAAGUUGUACUUUUUCUGUGAUAUUAUUGGGAACAUGUCUCAAACAUGAACUUGGUCUUGAUUUAUGUAGAUUGUUUUUUACAGUCAGUACUUCAGAGAAUAACAGAUACCGCAUUUAACACUCAAAUCCAUGAUGAAACUUUGAUCAAAGAUGUUAGAGAGCUGUUUUUUUUUCUUGUUCUGGGUAGUCAGAACUUGUAUCAAAACUUAUCAAGGUUUUACUUCAUUUCAUUCACUUAUUAGUCCUGUUUUAACAGUUUUAGAGAUUCUCAUAGCAGGUAGAUAGUCGUCUUUUCCAGUGGUUCAAAGUUUAGUACAAAGAAACCUGAAGACAAAAUUUGAGAAAAUGUAUCUUAGGAUUAGGGUUCUUUGUGAUACAUGGCCGAACUGCAACCACAACCACAACCUAAGGAGUUCUGAUACUUGAAAGCAAUCAGUGGAUUACAAAAAAUGUUUGAGAUAAUUAUUAAAACAAAAAAAAUCAACCUUGCAUUGGUAUAUUGCAUGUUAAAAAAACAGAUUUAAUAAACUUUGUCAAAUCCAAAUCAUCAAGAAAAUGUGUGCUGAAACUGAAUGUUACUUGUGUUCCUUUAUUACUCGUUAUGUUUUUAGAUUCCCAAUACAUCACUCAGAGAAGUGUUGAGUCGAAUGUGAUGCAUUUUACACAAUACUUUAUCACAGUAUUUUACUACAUUUAGUCUUAAACAAAGAAUUAGAGUACCUGCUAUGUUGAUCGACAGGAAACUAACCUUUGAAAAUUCAGGAAGUCGAUGUCUAUGUCAUUUCACACGAAAUGCAAAACUUAAUCUGGCUCCAUCUCAUAAACCUUACUUUGUACUUUCACCUUCCUUUAUAUUGUUUCCUUACUUUAUACUUUAUUUCAGUUGUCACCAGCAUUAAAAACUAGAAGAAACAUGGCUGCAAACUGUGAUCAUCUGGUUCUUUUUAUGUUAAACUUGUGCAUAACUUCAGUAUCUGAGUGUUUUACUGUGACUGAACAAGACAAGGAACUAGAAGAUUUCACCUGGUGCUCUGACGAUUGUGACAGCUCAUUUUUAUUUCCUGUUAACUCAGAAUUAAACUGAUCAAUAAACAGAUCAAACCGUGUCAUGUAAAGCGUAACCAUAGUUUAAAGAAACUCUGUUGAGUCAAAAUUGUUAGAAAUAAAUUGUUUGCUCUGUGAGGAAUAUCUGCUCGUCUCUGCCGAAAAAAACACAAAAUAAAGCUGAAAGUGAGCAUUGUUUUUAAGGAGUUUCUUGUGAUCUGUUUUUGUGGUAACAGCCUACAAUUUGUAAAAACCAUAAUCAACUUUAUCUCAUAGGCUUUCUAAAGACAAGCAGGAUUUUACUCCAAAACUUGAUACAACCUGCUCUACUGUAUGAAAAGGAAAAUGAGUUUUUAAUGAACAAAUACUAACUAUUGUAAAGAUUUUUAUAGUGAAGGGUUUCAUACUUCUUCCUCAUUACUUCCAGUUUUCUUUUUUCUUUUUACAACCCAUCUUAGUUUUCAGUCUCUGUAAACAAAAAGUAACCAUGUUGUAAACAACUUUGUGGAGUUUAGGAUUCAAAAUUUCAUGUUUUUAUUCAUCCCUCGAAGCAGAAAACAUUCACUCCUGAACCCAGAUUUGGUAGCUACAUGGGAAAAAGUACAAGAACACUUGUUUUUCCUGAAUUUCGUUAAGUGAACAAAAAGAAUCUUCUCAGAAAAGUCUUGCAUGUCUCCUUUUUUUUUUUUUUUUCAAGGAGGUCGCUCAAACACGGUGUGUGAAAUGAGAGUUGCCUGGGUGUGACUUUUCCAGAAAGCAUCCGCUUGCUAU